UCAAGUUCAGCGGGUACUCCUACCUGAUCCGAGGUCACCCUUGAUAUGUGGGGGGUUUCAAGGCAAGAACCCGACGCGUUCCCUGAGCGAGGAUGUUUCCUGCACUCUGUGCGACGACGAGCCUGCCACUGGAUUUGGGAGCCUACGGCAGCCGUAGGGCUCCAACGCAAGCCGGGGGCUUGAUGGUUGAAAUGACGCUC
This 200-nucleotide unclassified non-coding RNA is filed under the name uncultured Schizothecium. Its description in RNAcentral is "sequence contains ITS2". Lineage: Eukaryota; Fungi; Ascomycota; Sordariomycetes; Sordariales; Lasiosphaeriaceae. The record is from RNAcentral.